GCCCUUAGAGUUUGAUCCUGGCUCAGAACGAACGCUGGCGGCACGUUUUAAGCAUGCAAGUCGCACGGUAGAGUGUCUUCGGACGCUUGAGAGUGGCGAACGGGUGAGUAACACGUAGAUAAUCUGUCUCGGGGUUGGGGAUAGCCUAUGGAAACAUGGGGUAAUACCGAAUACGUCCGAGCGCUCACAAGAGUGUUUGGAGAAAGGCGCUUAGGCGCCGACCUGAGGUGAGUCUGCGGUCCAUUAGUUAGUUGGUGGGGUAAGAGCCUACCAAGGCGACGAUGGAUAGCCGGCCUGAGAGGGUGGACGACCACACUGGGACUGAGACACGGCCCAGACUCCUACGGGAGGCAGCAGCUAAGAAUCUUCCGCAAUGGGCGAAAGCCUGACGGAGCGAUGCCGCGUGAGCGAAGAAGGCGGGAACGUUGUAAAGCUCUUUUCUCGGUGAGGAAUAA
Molecule: ribosomal RNA, 455 nt
Filed under: uncultured spirochete
Lineage: Bacteria; Pseudomonadati; Spirochaetota; Spirochaetia; Spirochaetales
Description: bacterial SSU rRNA
Rfam family: Bacterial small subunit ribosomal RNA
Source: RNAcentral